This 236-nucleotide ribosomal RNA is filed under the name uncultured bacterium. RNAcentral describes it as "partial 16S ribosomal RNA". It matches the Rfam family "Bacterial small subunit ribosomal RNA", at positions 15 to 244 of the family's 1533-position model. The record is from RNAcentral.
GCUCAUGGCUCAGGAUGAACGCUAGCGGCAGGCUUAACACAUGCAAGUCGAGGGGCAGCAUAAUGGAUAGCAAUAUCUAUGGUGGCGACCGGCGCACGGGUGCGUAACGCGUAUGCAACCUACCUUUAACAGGGGGAUAACACUGAGAAAUUGGUACUAAUACCCCAUAAUAUCAUAGAAGGCAUCUUUUAUGGUUGAAAAUUCCGAUGGUUAGAGAUGGGCAUACGUUGUAUUAG